RNAcentral lists this transfer RNA (92 nucleotides) under Bdellovibrio sp. qaytius. RNAcentral describes it as "tRNA-Leu". It matches the Rfam family "tRNA". From Rfam's summary of the family: Transfer RNA (tRNA) molecules are approximately 80 nucleotides in length. Lineage: Bacteria; Pseudomonadati; Bdellovibrionota; Bdellovibrionia; Bdellovibrionales; Pseudobdellovibrionaceae. The record is from RNAcentral.
GCCUCGGUGGUGAAAUUGGUAGACACACAGGACUUAAAAUCCUGAGCUUCCAGGAAUGGGGCGUGCCGGUUCAAGUCCGGCCCGAGGCACCA